UGGGAUAGAUGAUUGGGGUGAAGUCGUAACAAGGUAGCCGUAUCGGAAGGUGCGGCUGGAUCACCUCCUUUCUAAGG
This 77-nucleotide ribosomal RNA is filed under the name Enterococcus faecalis. Its description in RNAcentral is "partial 16S ribosomal RNA". It matches the Rfam family "Bacterial small subunit ribosomal RNA", at positions 1463 to 1533 of the family's 1533-position model. The record is from RNAcentral. Lineage: Bacteria; Bacillati; Bacillota; Bacilli; Lactobacillales; Enterococcaceae.